AGUGAACGCUGGCGGUAGGCCUAACACAUGCAAGUCGAGCGGCAGCACAGGAGAGCUUGCUCUCUGGGUGGCGAGUGGCGGACGGGUGAGGAAUACAUCGGAAUCUACUCUGUCGUGGGGGAUAACGUAGGGAAACUUACGCUAAUACCGCAUACGACCUACGGGUGAAAGCAGGGAACCUUCGGGCCUUGCGCGAAUGAAUGAGCCGAUGUCGGAUUAGCUAGUUGGCGGGGUAAAGGCCCACCAAGGCGACGAUCCGUAGCUGGUCUGAGAGGAUGAUCAGCCACACUGGAACUGAGACACGGUCCAGACUCCUACGGGAGGCAGCAGUGGGGAAUAUUGGACAAUGGGCGCAAGCCUGAUCCAGCCAUACCGCGUGGGUGAAGAAGGCCUUCGGGUUGUAAAGCCCUUUUGUUGGGAAAGAAAUCCAGCUGGCUAAUACCCGGUUGGGAUGACGGUACCCAAAGAAUAAGCACCAGCUAACUUCGUGCCAGCAGCCGCGGUAA
RNAcentral lists this ribosomal RNA (506 nucleotides) under uncultured bacterium. Its description in RNAcentral is "partial 16S ribosomal RNA". It matches the Rfam family "Bacterial small subunit ribosomal RNA", at positions 29 to 523 of the family's 1533-position model. The record is from RNAcentral.